Long non-coding RNA from Macaca mulatta (Rhesus monkey), 1765 nucleotides. RefSeq lists it as uncharacterized. The record is from RefSeq and is a predicted model, not a curated record. Lineage: Eukaryota; Metazoa; Chordata; Mammalia; Primates; Cercopithecidae.
GUAAGUGCCCAGUGCCCUUAGGGGCAGCAGAGGCAACAGCAGCAGCAGCCUGCCAGGUGGACUCUGGUUGUUUGGCUUUUGCCUGCAAAAAGCACCCUGGUGCCAUGGCAACCACUGGAGCUGGCACCUUCAAGGUCAUGGUGAUCCAGCAUAGCCAGGCCUUCUAUGGGCAGCAGCCUUGGGGGUUACCAGUGGGGGGGACAUGGGCGAAAGAGGUGCCCAGACAUAGGGAUGGUGCCAAGGCUGGUCAAGUAGGGGCCCCCUGGGGGUCACCCGUGGGGUCAGGUGGUCACAGCCACGACCUGUCUGGACUAAACAGCAGUGUCCCCGCUCCUUGUUCCUCUCCGAGCCACCUCUGGAAUUGAGGGCAGAAUUAACACUGUGAAGCCAGCUUUGUUUCCAGCCUCCUGGGCCUUGAUGCUGUUGCGCUGGAGACAAGUGUCGUACUGGUGAGUAGGGAAUGGCUGGGACAGAGCCCCCCCAAGUAUUAUCCUGUGCCCCUAAGGCCCUGGCCACCAUCUGCAUGGGAAGGAAUUAACAGCAGCCAUCAUCCCACUGCUGCCUCUAAGAAGGUAUUCUCAUUCCCCCAGCCCUCCGGCGGAGUGAGCUGGUGUGGUGGCAGGGAACACAAUCCUGUCCCCCAAAGACUGCGAGUUCCUCCUUCGCUCCUUUCACUGCCACCCCAGGCUAACCAGCACUCCUGCCCUCCUGGCUGAACACCGGGCCUGGGAGCCUCCCAAGUGUGAUCUGGGCUCCACCCCCUCGGGCCCCUUCCAAGACUCUUAGCAAAGAGCUCUAGUUAAAGGACACCCGGGCAUAUCCAUCUUCCCAACGGGCUCUGCCCCACGGUCUCUGCCGGAGACGCACGGAAGGGACGAACUUGUGGCCCAGCUUUCCCGGUAAUGACCACGCCACUCUGCUCCUGGCCUCUGCAACCACCUGGCCCCAUCCUGCCUCUCAUGGGACAGGGGGUGGGGCUCCAUGGCCCGCUACUGUGUCUCAGCAGAUGGAAUAAGGCAGGCAAGACAAGAGCACUUGGAGAAGGGAAGAGGAACUCAGGACCGACAGAUAUGGCGUGAGGAGGGCAAAGGAGAGGAGGCUCUGAGAACCUGGGCUGGGGAAAAAACAGCCAGCCAGCAUCCAGGACGCUCCGCAGACCAAAUGGCUGGGCGCUUAAUUCUUGGGCAGUCUCUAUUCCACACCCUCCCAACUUUGUAGUCCUAGAAUCGACCACACCUGCCCUCUCUCACCACUACCCUCUGCAAUCUAGAAAUCCCUCCACCAGGACUCAAGAGCUUGAGGACUUCCCGAGUUGGGAAGUUCACUCUUAUUUGUGGAAAAGGUGUUCUUUAUGUCAAGACAGCCUUGAACCUCAUCCAAGAGCUGAAGUUCUGCCUCAUGAGCUUUGUGGAAUACUACACUUUGCCCACCUGGCAGCUUUGGAGAAAGCAAUCCUGUCCUUUCUGUCCAACUCUGUCUUGUUUUCUAGAGGAAACAUGCCUGACCCUUCUGAAGACUCCUCUAAGGACAAUGUCCACCAGGAUCCCUCCUGUGCUCCUCCAUGUGGGGUGCCUGCUUUGGGGCCCCUCCAUUGUGAGGCCAGACUUCCCUAGUGACGGGGCGAGGUAGGGCAUGCUGCCCCUGGGACUAGGUCUGUGUGGGGUUCACUGGACCAUCACCUCCCUUGUUGUGAACACAAACCUCUAUUAAUUCAGCCCAAGUCCAACUCUUCCACAAGAACUGCCAUUCGGUUUUGCUGUCCCCA